CCUACGGGAGGCAGCAGUGAGGAAUAUUGGUCAAUGGACGUAAGUCUGAACCAGCCAAGUAGCGUGAAGGAAGACUGCCCUAUGGUUUGUAAACUUCUUUUAUAGGGGAAUAAAGUUUUCCACGUGUGGACUUUUGUAUGUACCCUAUGAAUAAGGAUCGGCUAACUCCGUGCCAGCAGCCGCGGUAAUCCGGAGGGUGCGAGCGUUCUCCGGAGUUAUUGGGUUUAAAGGGGGCGUAGGUGGGUUGUUAAGUCAGGGGGGAAAGUGUGAGGAUCAACCGUAAAAUUGCAGUUGAAACUGGGAGGGUGGAGGACAGUAGAGGUGGGCGGAAGGCGUGGGGU
This 341-nucleotide ribosomal RNA is filed under the name uncultured bacterium. Its description in RNAcentral is "partial 16S ribosomal RNA". It matches the Rfam family "Bacterial small subunit ribosomal RNA", at positions 338 to 676 of the family's 1533-position model. The record is from RNAcentral.